This 433-nucleotide ribosomal RNA is filed under the name uncultured bacterium. Its description in RNAcentral is "partial 16S ribosomal RNA". It matches the Rfam family "Bacterial small subunit ribosomal RNA", at positions 29 to 507 of the family's 1533-position model. The record is from RNAcentral.
AGCGAACGCUGGCGGCAGGCCUAACACAUGCAAGUCGAACGAACUCUUCGGAGUUAGUGGCGGACGGGUGAGUAACACGUGGGAACGUGCCUUUAGGUUCGGAAUAACUCAGGAAAACUUGUGCUAAUACCGAAUGUGCCCUUCGGGGGAAAGAUUUAUCGCCUUUAGAGCGGCCCGCGUCUGAUUAGCUAGUUGGUGAGGUAAAGGCUCACCAAGGCGACGAUCAGUAGCUGGUCUGAGAGGAUGUUCAGCCACAUUGGGACUGAGACACGGCCCAAACUCCUACGGGAGGCAGCAGUGGGGAAUCUUGCGCAAUGGGCGAAAGCCUGACGCAGCCAUGCCGCGUGAAUGAUGAAGGUCUUAGGAUUGUAAAAUUCUUUCACCGGGGACGAUAAUGACGGUACCCGGAGAAGAAGCCCCGGCUAACUUCGUG